This 469-nucleotide ribosomal RNA is filed under the name Everettia planispira. RNAcentral describes it as "partial 16S ribosomal RNA". It matches the Rfam family "Bacterial large subunit ribosomal RNA", at positions 1796 to 2620 of the family's 2925-position model. The record is from RNAcentral. Lineage: Eukaryota; Metazoa; Mollusca; Gastropoda; Stylommatophora; Ariophantidae.
UCGCCUGUUAACAAAAACAUAGCUUUAUGAUUAAUUUAUAUAAAGUUAUCCUGCCCAAUGAAUAAUUAAAUGGCCGCAGUACUUUGACUGUGCUAAGGUAGCAUAAUAAAUUGACUUUUAAUUAAAGUCUAGAAUGAAAGGAUUAAUGGAUAUAUACUGUCUUUAAUAAAUUUAUAUUAAUUUUCUGAAAAGGUGAAAAUUCCUUUAGAUAUAUUAAAAAGACGAGAAGACCCUAGGAGUUUUAAUAAUUUUUGUUGGGGCAACAUUAUAACAAAUAAUUUAUAAUAAUUAUUUUAAAUUAAACGAAAUAUUUUAAUUAUGAAUAAACUACCCUAGGGAUAACAGCAUAAUUUAUUAUAAAGUAAGUUUGUGACCUCGAUGUUGGACUAGGAACUUUAAAUAUUAGUUAUAUUUAUUGGGUUGUUCUGUUCGAACAUUUUAUACCUACGUGAUCUGAGUUCAGACCGGA